UUCCCCCAAAUCAUUUCCAUUUCUCCCAAAUCACAAAGUAAGAGGAAAAUCGUCGCUUUCUUCAUCGCCAAAUUUGUGGUCCUCCAAAGUCGGCCGACAUCUGGACCACUGACUGGCGCCGUUCUUCUGACGUAGUGUGAAGACGAUAGCACACCGAAACCCAACAUGGAAAUAGUAUUUGAAGACAAUGUCGAAUCGUCGAUGCUGGGGCAAAGUUGUAGACUAGAAUGAGAGGAAGGAAUUUCGGAAUUUGUCACGACUGUAGAAGUAACACUUGCUACUUUGGACAAUGUCAAACAAAACGUGGAUGCCCUUCAUGUAAACACGGAGUUUGGAAAUGUUUUGAGGUAGAACGGAAUACUUAAAACAAAGGGCGUUUGUUCUUCACGUGUAGUAAUGACUGUAUAUAUUUCGAUUGGGUGAAAAAUGAAAUUUUGAGUGGGGAAUCAAGUACCGUUAACAAAGAUGUGAAUCAUGAGCCCAACAAGGAAUAUGAAGCUUGCCAAGAAUCUUCAACAGCCUAGCUCGAAUUACCAAGAAAUGAGAUGUCGACAUAACAUUGCACGUAACAUUUCACAAAGGAAAGGGAUUUGGAGAAUGCGAUGGGAAGGGAAAGGGACUGACGUAAAUGGGUGAUGCCAAUUUAGGAUCCAAUAUGCUCAUGCUUCCAGAAUUUUGUGACUCAUUACAAGUAGAGGCUAAACGAAUAACAUGCACGAAAUGGCAGUGCUUCCAUUACUCGAUUUUGACGUCCACAUGUGUUCUACUUCUAAUUUUAUCCAUUCCAUUAUAGCACUAACCACUCUUCAUCAUCUGCAGCAAGGUCUGCCACCUCCGAGAAAAGCCUGGCACAUAUCGUCAUAUCUUACUUGUCCCGGAGUACUUCCUAGCUCGUCAUAAUUGACUUUGACCCUCGUGUGUACUCUUUUGACAUCUCUCCCCCAUCUUCGUAGUAUAUACCUAUUAGGCAUUGACGUGAUGUCAUUGCGGAUCAAGAUUGUGAUCACAUGCCUGCAAAUGAUUCCUCGAAUCUCGAAUACGUGGCAACUAAAAGUGAAUUCGCAAGUAUCUCUCCGAAAUGAGACGCAAAAUGUUCUUUUCUUCUGGUGCUCAUGAACCUAGUAGUUCGUCGAAAAACAUUCAUCCUUAUCAGAGAUGACAUCACGAUAGACCUUCUCAGUGAACUCAUUUUGUACUUCCUUGAACUUUGAAAUGGUGUACACUAAUUGAAAUUGUUUCUCCAUUUCGAAAGUAGUUGCACAUGAUACCAUUUGGGAAAAUGACUUGAAAUUAGCCCGAAUCUCUUUCUCAACCUUAUUCUUAAGUGCUCUUUUAUACUAUUCGACGAUUUGCUUCAACGAGACUUUAAAUGCAUAUAUCCAUCGAAAAAUGCUUUCAUACUCUCAUUUCGUUGUGUUGUUGAUAUCCCUGCAUCCCUGCCCAAAAAGUGGUCUUCAAAAACAAGGAACCCAACGACUUGUUAUCUUAUAAUCCCAAAAACUAGUUAUUAUUAUGCAAGUCAUACAAAUCGAGCAUUAUCCUCCAAUUGUGCUCGAAUUCUUCAACAAAUUGUGAAUCCUAUACUUAAUCACAUAUAGCAAAAAAUAUGGAGACUUUAUGAACAUUGUAGCCAAACGUUUCUUACAACUUCUUCAAAAUGUGUUAUAAAUACCAUCUGUACCUCAUAUCUGAAAAAACUAUCUCAAUUGUAUUUUGCAUUGCUCUAUCUUGAUCGGUGAUUAUUCCACUGGGAGGUUUGGCGUGCAUGCAUUCGAGCUAUGUCCUAAACAACCGCACAAAAGUCCAUGUGUCUUCAUUCGAUAAUAGUCCACAACUAAGCAGUGUUAAUUGGUCAUGAUGAUUUACGUCAACAAAAGGGGCGAACAGCAUGUCGUACUUAUUAGUGAGAUACGUAGUAUCAAAAGUGACAGCGUCACCAAGCUCUUUGUAAGAUUGCCUACAUCUAUUAUCUGUCCAAAAUACAUUCUUUAGUCGUGAUCGACGUCUAACUCCAUACUGAAGUAAAAUCCCAUAGCACCGUGCUUGCAUCUUUGAAAAGUAUGCUUGUAUUGCGAUGGAAUCUCCUUCACCAAGUUGUAGUCGUCUCACUUGUUCUAUAUAGUUCUGACAAUACUUCUCCAUGAACGUCAUGUUCUCAUAUCUACCUGUUGCCACAACUGUGGAUUUAAAAUUCUUGUGCAAGGGGAUUCCUGCUAUAUCAUUCAAUUUGAGAUUUCGUUUUGCACUUGCAGCCAACUUUCGGUUGCAUCGAUACAAUCUUGACUUAGAAGGACUUGUCGUAUGAUUAUGUUCAAGGUACAGUUUGUUAAUUCUCUAUAUUCCAAGACCAUCUAAUGAUGCAGAUAUUCUUGCAUUACAAUUUGUCUGACUUGUUGGUUGCGGCUUCAAAGAAUUGCCUGUAGUAUAAAUUCUUUGACCUUUUAUAACUACAAUUGAACGUCACAUAUCUCAUAACUCCGUCCUUUCCCUUUUUCGAAUUCCAUUUUCUCACUGGAAAACAUACGGCAUAAGUAUAGCUUUUAUAAAAGUCCAACAUUUAUUCUUCAUUAUUAAACAUCAUACCUACCUCAGGCUUAGUCACAACAUCUCCUCCUAAUUUUUCGUUGUCCAAUGUAUUCAAAUUUGCCACUAUAUUUUCAUUAUACAUUCUACAAUGAAAUCAUGAUUCUCAUCUUC
Olea europaea var. sylvestris is the source of this 2697-nucleotide long non-coding RNA. RefSeq lists it as uncharacterized. The transcript is spliced from 2 exons. The record is from RefSeq and is a predicted model, not a curated record. NCBI's taxonomy places the organism in Eukaryota, Viridiplantae, Streptophyta, Magnoliopsida, Lamiales, Oleaceae.